This 381-nucleotide ribosomal RNA is filed under the name uncultured eukaryote. RNAcentral describes it as "partial 18S ribosomal RNA". It matches the Rfam family "Eukaryotic small subunit ribosomal RNA", at positions 592 to 976 of the family's 1831-position model. The record is from RNAcentral.
CAAUAGCGUAUAUUAAAAUUGUUGCGGUUAAAAAGCUCGCACUUGGAUUUCUGCCGAGGACGACCUGUCCGCCCUCUGGGUGAGUAUCUGGCUCGGCCUGGGCAUCUUCUUGGAGAACGUAGCUGCACUUGACUGUGUGGUGCGGUAUCCAGGCUUUUUUACUUUGAGGAAAUUAAAGUGUCUCAAGCAGGCUUACGCCUUGAAUACAUUAGCAUGGAAUAAUAAGAUAGGACUUCGGUUCUAUGUUGUUGGCUUCUAGAACUGAGGUAAUGAUUAAUAGGGGUAAUUGGGGGCAUUCGUACUUAAUUGUCAGAGGUGAAAUUCUUGGAUUUGUUAAUCACGGACUACUGCGAAAGCAUUUGCCAAGGAUGUUUUCAUUCA